This 302-nucleotide ribosomal RNA is filed under the name uncultured bacterium. RNAcentral's name for it is "partial 16S ribosomal RNA". It matches the Rfam family "Bacterial small subunit ribosomal RNA", at positions 508 to 807 of the family's 1533-position model. The record is from RNAcentral.
GCAGUAGCCGCGGGAAAACAGAGGGUGCGAGCGUUAAUCGGAUUUACUGGGCGUAAAGCGUGCGUAGGCGGCUUUUUAAGUCGGAUGUGAAAUCCCUGAGCUUAACUUAGGAAUUGCAUUCGAUACUGGGAAGCUAGAGUAUGGGAGAGGAUGGUAGAAUUCCAGGUGUAGCGGUGAAAUGCGUAGAGAUCUGGAGGAAUACCGAUGGCGAAGGCAGCCAUCUGGCCUAAUACUGACGCUGAGGUACGAAAGCAUGGGGAGCAAACAGGAUUAGAUACCCCUGUAGUCCCUGUCUCUUAUAC